ACAUGAGCAAAAUCUCAACUGUUUUAGAAGAGAUGCAUUUAUUAGAUAAAAAACCAGUACAUAUUUUUACAGUAUGAAAGUUGGUGAUUUACAAUAACUUAGCAAAUCGCAAAGUGUAAACAGGCGAUAAAUCAUUCAAGUUUCUGACCUAUCAGCUUUCGACGGUAUGGUAUUGGCUUACCGUGGCAGUGACGGUUAACGGGGGAUUAGGGUUUGAUUCCGGAGAGGGAGCCUGAGAAACGGCUACCACAUCUAAGGAAGGCAGCAGGCGCGCAAAUUACCCAAUUCUAACAGCAUAAGAGAGGUAGUGACAAGAAAUAACAAUACAAGGCAAUUAAAAUGCUUUGUAAUUGGAAUGAUAGAAAUUUAAACACUUUUUAAAGUAUCAAUUGGAGGGCAAGUCUGGUGCCAGCAGCCGCGGUAAUUCCAGCUUCAAUAGCGUAUAUUAAAAUUGUUGCAGUUAAAAAGCUCGUAGUUGAAUUUCUGUUAAAAAUAACCGGUCUGCUUUUAUUAAAAGUGGUAUUUUGGUGUGUUUUUAGCAAUAAUGUCCUUUGAAAUGUUUUUUACUUUAUUGUAAUAAGUCAUUAUUUUGAGGAUUUUUACUUUGAGAAAAUUAGAGUGUUUCUAGCAGGCUUACGCUUUUGAAUACUGCAGCAUGGAAUAAUAAG
This 668-nucleotide ribosomal RNA is filed under the name Hepatozoon americanum. Its description in RNAcentral is "bacterial SSU rRNA". It matches the Rfam family "Eukaryotic small subunit ribosomal RNA", at positions 169 to 821 of the family's 1831-position model. Lineage: Eukaryota; Apicomplexa; Hepatozoidae. The record is from RNAcentral.